This is a non-coding RNA of Odocoileus virginianus texanus, 950 nucleotides long. NCBI's taxonomy places the organism in Eukaryota, Metazoa, Chordata, Mammalia, Artiodactyla, Cervidae. The record is from RefSeq and is a predicted model, not a curated record.
UUGAAAGAACAAAAUGGCAGCUUAAGCAGUCGGGGAACCACUUUGGAAGGAUUGCCGUUGAGGCUCUGCACUGAGCUGAAAUUCCCGUGGUGAAGAUGCUGGAAGCAGAUCUGGUUUCAAAAAUGCUUCGGGCUGUUCUGCAAUCUCAAAAGAAUGGAAUAGCAUUAUCCCGGCUCCAAGGAGAGUACAGAUCCCUAACUGGAGACUGGAUUCCUUUCAAGCAAUUGGGCUAUCCUACACUAGAAGCCUAUCUGAGAAGUGUGCCAGCAGUUAUCAGGAUAGAGACUAGUAGGUCUGGAGAGAUAACCUGCUAUGCCGUGGCCUGCACAGAAACUGCAAGAAUUGCUCAGCUUGUGGCUCGACAGAGGAGUUCUAAAAGGAAAACUGGUCGGCAAGUUAAUUGUCAGAUGAGAGUAAAGAAAACCAUGCCGUUUUUUCUAGAUGGAAAACCAAAAGCAACCCUCAGACAACCAGGAUUUUCUUCAGAUUUUUCUGUCAGCAAAAAACCUAAUUCAACACUAUUAAGAAACAAAGGAAACUCUCUUGGAGUUAAAUCUGAUGCUGAAAUGCUGCCUUACACAUUACAAACAGCUAUUGGAAAUGAAGUAUUCAAAGAUGUUCCAGUGCAGAGUCAUGUGACCAUGUCUACCAACAGCAGGUUUAGCCCAAAGGCAUCCCUUCCUCCACCUUUUCAGAUGCAUCUCUCAAGAACCUGUACUAAGGAAAUGAGUGAUAAUUUAAAUCAGGCUGUUGAAAAAUCAAAUGUCACGCCUCCUGCCUCUCACACUUAUAAAAUGGAUGAGGUUCAAAACCGCAUAAAGGAAAUGCUAAACAAGUAUAGCAAUGGCAUUUGGAUAUCUAAGCUUCCACAUUUUUACAAAGAAUUAUAUAAAGAAGAACUAAAUCAAGGAAUUUUACAACAAUUUGAACACUGGCCUCAUAUUUGCACG